UGGAUGUAAUGAGUCUUUCUGGACUCAAAUGGAAGUAUUCUACUAUGAGACUUGACACCCUUCACUUAUUCAUAAUACUUUCCCAUUGUCAGACACCCCCAUCCCCACCGCUUCCAGUCCGGGUCACUGUUCCAUCAUCAUGGCAGUCUCUCCCCCUCUCUCAGGCUGAUCUGGGGCUUCUCUUCACCAAUUCCAGCCCCUUCACCUCCACCCAGUCCCUGUUGCUCAUGCCUUGAUCUGGAACGGCCUCCAAACCGCUUCUCCGUGCUACAUAUGGUUCCUAUACCAUCACACAGGUGAUGUCUGAACCCAUUCCACCCCUGACUCCAUCUCUCACUGCAUCACUCCUUUCUAAAACCAUCGUGAAAGAGAUAGAGGGUGACAGAGGAGAGCAGUUUAAGGUGCGAGUGCUGUUUCAUAUGAGGGGUGAUGUUAACAGAGGAACCUGUGUUACUCUCCAUGCUUUCAAACAGACAGAAGAACAGAAAGCUUCCUGCUUCACUCAGCCACCUUUUGGGUUGUGUGUGGUCACUCUGACACUUUCAAACGACUGGUUUGAGCCUAUUCAGAACAUCAAGGCAAACCUGGACCAGAUUUUCAAGCAACGUCACCUGAGCAGAAACCGCUCUC
Long non-coding RNA from Sinocyclocheilus rhinocerous, 630 nucleotides. RefSeq lists it as uncharacterized. The transcript has 4 exons. NCBI's taxonomy places the organism in Eukaryota, Metazoa, Chordata, Actinopteri, Cypriniformes, Cyprinidae. The record is from RefSeq and is a predicted model, not a curated record.